This 253-nucleotide ribosomal RNA is filed under the name uncultured bacterium. RNAcentral describes it as "partial 16S ribosomal RNA". It matches the Rfam family "Bacterial small subunit ribosomal RNA", at positions 524 to 776 of the family's 1533-position model. The record is from RNAcentral.
UACGUAGGGGGCAAGCGUUGUCCGGAUUUAUUGGGCGUAAAGAGCGUGUAGGCGGCCAGGUAGGUCCGGUGUGAAAACUCGAGGCUCAACCUCGAGACGUCGAUGGAAACCAUCUGGCUAGAGUCCGGAAGAGGAGAGUGGAAUUCCUGGUGUAGCGGUGAAAUGCGUAGAUAUCUGGAGGAACAUCGGUGGCGAAGGCGGCAUCCUGGACCGGUAUUGACGCUGAGGCGCGAAAGCCAGGGGAGCAAACGGG